Varanus komodoensis (Komodo dragon) is the source of this 2202-nucleotide long non-coding RNA. RefSeq lists it as uncharacterized. The record is from RefSeq and is a predicted model, not a curated record. NCBI's taxonomy places the organism in Eukaryota, Metazoa, Chordata, Lepidosauria, Squamata, Varanidae. The transcript has 3 exons.
GUGCUCCUGUGAUUUGGAAGCGAUACAGCCCAGCGAAGGCUGACGUAGACCAAGGGAGGGCAACGGGCACGUUGCCAUCCACUGGGCUUUGCGGUUGUGCGUGGUUGUGCGUGGAAGUCUCCCUGGUCUGCACAUCAGCCCUGCUGACUUUCCUCUAGAUGUCAUUCUCGCUGUGUAAGAAGCUGGCCUGUGGUGUGCGUUGGAGCACAGGGAUGGACUGGAAGGAGUGAGGGGAUUGGAAGUUGUGCCUUGUCCCUCCCUUCGGUCUGCCUCCAUUGGUCACCAUGCCCGUAUCCAAAAUGCCGUUCCAAGCAGGAAAGGUUACUCCUUGGAUGGACAGGUGGGAUUCUUUGUGGAGCUUCCGUGGAGCUCCCACAUGCUCAUACGUCUUUCCUCUGCUGCACCCCAAAGUGAUGACCAUGUUCCACGUCAUCUUCCUACUGCUGCUGACUGGGCUGAGCUGGGGAAGGACUUCCCUUUCCGAGAUCCCACUUUACCUUGGGAGGAAUGGUUGGGUGACCUGGUGAACAGACUGACGGUGGACGAGAUGGUGCUCCAGGAGCCGUACGAGGAGGACCCAUUCCUGACAGCAGAGCUGGGGCGGCUUUUGUGAGGGGGCUGCAGGGCACCCACCCCCGCUACAUCAAGGCCAGUGCCGGUUGUGAACACUUCGAUGUCCACGGAGGCCCUGAGAACAUCCCCAGCUCCUGGUUCGCCUUUACUGCCAAGGGAUCUGGAACUUGGUGCCUUCAAGCCAUCUUGGACAACUCCCAUCAUCCCCAGCCAGCUUUGCCAGUGAAUAGGUUGUGGGAAUUGCAGUCCCAGAGAUCUGCAGGACACUAAGCGGACCACCGUAGAGCCAUUCAUGGUUCUCCAUCGCAAGUUCAUCUUACCGUCGCAACGUCUCUCUGAGGCAGCCUGGGCUGGGAAGUCGUACCUGAGCCGAGCCCCCAGGCGAGUCUGCUGGGGGCGCGUCCAGUCCUCCCACUGCUGCUGCAUCGCUCUGAGUCCUGAACUCACCAGCAUGGCACAGUAUCAGCUGGUCUUGUUUCUUGCUAACCUCUGGGCGCUUCGAUUGCAGCGGCAGGCAAGCCAGUGAUUCUGUUGCUCUUCAACGCAGGCCCGCUUGACGUGAGCUGGACCAAGGCGCAGGACGGUGUGGGAGCCGUCCUGGCCUGCUUCUUCCCCGCUCAGGCCACUGGCCUGGCCAUCGCCAAACCGAAGGGGCAACUCCUGCUGGCAGGCUGCCAGCCAGUCAGCCAGCGAGCAUGCACCAGGUAACGCUUGGCUCACACGUCCUCUGCGGUGGCUGGCCUCCUGAGGAGACACAAAGCGACAACUCCUCCACGCAAGUGCCAGCUUGAAUAAAUGCAGUUGUUGGAAAGGUAUCUCUGGAUUGUACUUAGACAUCUAGCAUUUGGCAGCUGGUUUUCCUGGACUGAACCCUGUUCUUGAACUUGCGGUUUUCUGUGAACAACUUCUUUUUUUUUUAAGAGGUGCAGCCUUUAGAUGUCUAAACCAUUCCCCCUCCCAUAUCUUAAUGUCCAUGAACCAAGUAAAUAAUUUUAAAGCACAAGGCAUCGGUGAAUAUUAAAGACUGUUUCAGGACAAAUUUUAUCUAUGUAAUAACCUCUGCCCGGAAAGAAGAAACUACCAGACAUUGCCGAAGCGUGUUCAAGCGACGCACUGGCUAUAUCGAACCCCUCCCAAUUAGCUGAAUUUGGCAAUCUGUUAUUAAAGUGGAGUUGUACUGUCCAGUAGACACCAAUGUCUUUGCUGAAAACGAUGCAAACUAAGACACAGCCUAUGCAGAGGCCAAAGUGCCGAUCCCUCGAUUAGGCAUUUUGGAUGGUGGUGUUGUCUACACCAGUUCCACAAAGGUACCCACAGGUCUCAGGACUCCAUUUGGGAGCAUCCCCAGCCUCUGUAACCAGAGAGUUUUUUUAUGGCAGGAACUAAAUUGAUUGCUUUCUGUGUGCAAAGCUUUCGUCUACCAGCCACCAUCCUCAAAAUACUGUCCAUGGGGGCAUGUUUGACCCCUGUCCUGCCACCAUCUGUGCGUCAAUUGCCACUUCUUUCAGCCACCUGCGCACUGGUCAGUUUUUCCUAGACAGGAGUUUGAACAAGCAGGUCAGAGGUCCUCAGACUUCUUCGAAAGGGGGCCAGUUCACAGGUGCCAGUGGUGGGCAUGGGCCGCCAAGG